CAGCAGCCGCGGUAAUACAGAGGGUGCGAGCGUUAAUCGGAUUUACUGGGCGUAAAGCGUGCGUAGGCGGUUAUAUAAGACAGAUGUGAAAUCCCCGGGCUCAACCUGGGAACUGCAUUUGUGACUGUAUAGCUAGAGUACGGCAGAGGGGGAUGGAAUUCCGCGUGUAGCAGUGAAAUGCGUAGAUAUGCGGAGGAACACCGAUGGCGAAGGCAAUCCCCUGGGCCUGUACUGACGCUCAUGCACGAAAGCGUGGGGAGCAAACAGGAUUAGAUACCCCCGUAGUCCCUGUCUCUUAUAC
This 301-nucleotide ribosomal RNA is filed under the name uncultured bacterium. RNAcentral's name for it is "partial 16S ribosomal RNA". It matches the Rfam family "Bacterial small subunit ribosomal RNA", at positions 509 to 807 of the family's 1533-position model. The record is from RNAcentral.